GACGAACGCUGGCGGCGUGCUUAACACAUGCAAGUCGAACGGAAAGGCCCUGCUUUUGUGGGGUGCUCGAGUGGCGAACGGGUGAGUAACACGUGGGUACCUUGCCUUUGACUUUGGGUAACCUUCCGAAAGCUGGGGUAAUACCGGAUACGAACCUCGUGUGGAAGGGGGGGGCUUGCAAGGUUCGUGCGGUUGGGGUGGGACUUGGGGCUUAUCCGCUUGUGGGGGGGGAAGUGGUUUACCAGGGCUUAGACGGGGAUCCGGCAUGAGAGGGUGACCGGCCACAUGGGGACUGAGAUACGGCCCAGACUGCUACGGGGGGCAGCAGUGGAGAAUAUUGCACAGUGGGCGGAAGCCUGAUGCAGCAACGCCGCGUGCGGGAUGAAGGCCUUCGGGUUGUAAACCGCUUGCGCCUGAGACGAACCGUGAGUGACGGUAAUGGGUAAAGAAGCACCGGCUAACUACGUG
Molecule: ribosomal RNA, 468 nt
Filed under: uncultured bacterium
Lineage: Bacteria
Description: partial 16S ribosomal RNA
Rfam family: Bacterial small subunit ribosomal RNA
Source: RNAcentral